GGGAAACUGGGGAUAAUACCGGAUAGGCAAUUUUUCCUGGAAUGGUUUUUUGUUUAAAUGUUUUUUCGCCUAAGGAUGGGUCUGCGGCCGAUUAGGUAGUUGGUUAGGUAACGGCUUACCAAGCCGUUGAUCGGUACGGGUUGUGAGAGCAAGAGCCCGGAGAUGGAACCUGAGACAAGGUUCCAGGCCCUACGGGGUGCAGCAGGCGCGAAACCUCCGCAAUGUGAGAAAUCGCGACGGGGGGAUCCCAAGUGCCAUUCUUAACGGGAUGGCUUUUCAUUAGUGUAAAAAGCUUUUGGAAUAAGGGCUGGGCAAGACCGGUGCCAGCCGCCGCGGUAACACCGGCAGCUCUAGUGGUAGCAGUUUUUAUUGGGCCUAAAGCGCCCGUAGCCGGUUUAAUAAGUCUCUGGUGAAAUCCUGUAGCUUAACUGUGGGAAUUGCUGGAGAUACUAUUAGACUUGAGACCGGGAGAGGUUAGAGGUACUCCCAGGGUAGAGGUGAAAUUCUGUAAUCCUGGGAGGACCGCCUGUUGCGAAGGCGUCUAACUGGAACGGUUCUGACGGUGAGGGACGAAAGUUAGGGGCGCGAACCGGAUUAGAUACCCGGGUAGUCCUAACUGUAAACGAUGCGGACUUGGUGUUGGGGUGGCUUUGAGCUGCUCCAGUGCCGAAGGGAAGCUGUUAAGUCCGCCGCCUGGGAAGUACGGUCGCAAGACUGAAACUUAA
RNAcentral lists this ribosomal RNA (725 nucleotides) under uncultured archaeon. Its description in RNAcentral is "bacterial SSU rRNA". It matches the Rfam family "Archaeal small subunit ribosomal RNA", at positions 134 to 859 of the family's 1478-position model. The record is from RNAcentral.